RNAcentral lists this transfer RNA (67 nucleotides) under Marmota marmota marmota (Alpine marmot). It matches the Rfam family "tRNA". Rfam says of the family: Transfer RNA (tRNA) molecules are approximately 80 nucleotides in length. Their secondary structure includes four short double-helical elements and three loops (D, anti-codon, and T loops). Lineage: Eukaryota; Metazoa; Chordata; Mammalia; Rodentia; Sciuridae. The record is from Rfam by way of RNAcentral. RNAcentral also lists the same sequence under 4 other names.
GGUUGUGGCUCAGUGGUAGAGCACUUGCCUAGCAUGUGUGAGGCCCUGGGUUCGAUCCUCAGCACCA